GAUGAACGCUAGCGGGAGGCGUUAUACAUGCAAGUCGAACGGUAAAUGGUAGCAAUACUAUGAGAGUGGCGUACGGGUGCGUAACGCGUACACAACCUGCCUUGUACAGGGGGAUAGCCUCGGGAAACUGAGAUUAAUACCCCCAUAAUUUUACGGUGUGGCAUCACAUUGUAAUUAAAGCUCCGGCGGUACAAGAUGGGUGUGCGUCCGAUUAGGUAGUUGGUGAGGUAACGGCUCACCAAGCCGACGAUCGGUAGCUGGUCUGAGAGGACGAUCAGCCACACGGGCACUGAGACACGGGCCCGACUCCUACGGGAGGCAGCAGUAGGGAAUAUUGGACAAUGGACGCAAGUCUGAUCCAGCCAUCCCGCGUGAAGGAUUAAGGCCCUCUGGGUUGUAAACUUCUUUUCUUUGGGAAUAAAAAGCGGUAUUCAUAUCGCCUUGAAGGUACCAGAGGAAUAAGCACCGGCUAACUCCGUGCCAGCAGCCGCGGUAAUACGGAGGGUGCAAGCGUUAUCCGGAUUCACUGGGUUUAAAGGGUGCGUAGGUGGUCUGUUAAGUCAGCGGUGAAAGCCUGGAGCUCAACUCCAGAAUUGCCAUUGAUACUGACGGACUUGAAUCAAGUUGAGGUGGAUGGAAUAUUACAUGUAGCGGUGAAAUGCUUAGAUAUGUAAUAGAACACCAAUUGCGAAGGCAGUUCACUAAGCUUGCAUUGACACUGA
This 722-nucleotide ribosomal RNA is filed under the name uncultured bacterium. Its description in RNAcentral is "bacterial SSU rRNA". It matches the Rfam family "Bacterial small subunit ribosomal RNA", at positions 28 to 749 of the family's 1533-position model. The record is from RNAcentral.